Vanrija pseudolonga is the source of this 84-nucleotide non-coding RNA. The record is from the annotation of a RefSeq genome assembly. NCBI's taxonomy places the organism in Eukaryota, Fungi, Basidiomycota, Tremellomycetes, Trichosporonales, Trichosporonaceae.
GCGACGUUCUGCUAGUGGUCCAUGCAGUCGGCCUUAAGAUCCGAUGGGAGCAAUCCCUCGCGCGUUCGAAUCGCGCACGUCGCA